This is a long non-coding RNA of Myodes glareolus (Bank vole), 1142 nucleotides long. RefSeq lists it as uncharacterized. Lineage: Eukaryota; Metazoa; Chordata; Mammalia; Rodentia; Cricetidae. The record is from RefSeq and is a predicted model, not a curated record.
CUCACGUAGCCAGUAACAGUACAACUUCCUGGGGAACAGUAAAACCUUCCACGUUCCCUGGAUAUCCAUAGCUCUUUAGGGUUAGAAGCAUCGUCACUUCCUGUAGCCAAGAGGAAGUCCCAGCAGAGGGGAAGAAAUGUCCAGAUAAGACAGAGUCUGAGCUAUGCAAGAAAGAAAAAUGCCUCGUAUCCGCUGCCACAGAAUAGUUCCUGGGGCUGGAAGACGCCAGUCGCUCACUGGAUGUUACUGAAGUAAUGAAUUAGGGACAGAAUGAGAGAACAGGACACACAGCAGUGGACUUGUGAGUGCGUGGAGCUCCCCGUGCCCUAGCAAUUUGUCCCUACCUCUGCUGUUGUGCUGGUUAAGCCUGGGCUGGUUUGUUCCAUGCAGACCCUGUCUCCCAGCAUGACUGACCUAGUAACUGCAAAUUCCAUGGUGUGCUUGAAGAAAGCCCUCUGCACAAUUUCUCCAUCAAUUCAGCCAGGUCUUGCCAGACCUGAAAUUGUACGAAAUCCCCAGUAUUACAAAUUCCCAUCAAAGGCCAAUGAGACAAGAGCUAGAGAAAAAUGUCUCUGCCAGGUUCACUGAAAAUGAAGACAGCAGGUUUUCCUUUUAGUUCUGGGGAUUAUUUAUUACAGGUCUACAGUGUGUCUCGUCUCCCCUGGUCUUUUCUGAGGAUAUUCAAGUUCAGUUUUCUCUCCCAGUACCUCCCAAUAAGGUCUUCUGAAAUAAAUGCCGGUACUGCCGUCAAGUCCACUUUGCAAGGAUAAACACGCCACCAGGAAAGCCACCUCCUUGCUUUCCCACGAACUAACACCCAGCCACAGCCCUGGUCGUCCUGGCUUCAGUUAGAAGCAGCCGUGGCAGCAGCUUGACAUGGAAGAGGGACAAAGGUGAUCAUUUCAAAUGCUCCCACUAGCUUUGCGUUCUGAUUGCCUUGUUCCUGUGUCCCCCAAACUUCUGUGUUACCUCUGCCCCCCUUUCGCUUUGCCUUGUCAAAUGUUAGAGACGGUUGUUGGAAGGGUUUGGAAGCACAUCCCCCAAAGGGCUUCAGGUUAUGGGGGUGGGGGGCGUUGAGAAAACAGGAACUCCCAGGUAAAGCCAUUCAACAGUUUUCAUAUGAAUAAACCAGUCAAAGUGGA